This 440-nucleotide long non-coding RNA is filed under the name Bos taurus (domestic cattle). Its description in RNAcentral is "long non-coding RNA NONBTAT000957". Lineage: Eukaryota; Metazoa; Chordata; Mammalia; Artiodactyla; Bovidae. The record is from RNAcentral.
CUAAAGUAUUAUGAUUCUCAUCUAAUUUCAAGAUGUAUAUAGGAGCCGUUUAAAAGUAUUUUGUAUUAUAAUCUGUCACCAAAAAUCAACUAGCAGAGUUUUAUAAUGUGUGUAGGUUUACCCAAUGGGAAUUAAAUUUUAAUUUAUAAGUCUUUCUAUCACUGUAGAAAUUUAGGACAAGGUAGCAUUUGGUAUUAACAUAGAAGAAUAUUCUAUAGCUUUUGUUUUUUUUUUUAGUUUCAAAUUGAUCUAAAAGAAAGUACACUUUGAAUUUUUCCUCCUAGUGUUCUUGUGUUAUAUUAGAGUAUUUUCAUGACAUUGUUUUUAAUGUAAACAUUAUUUUAUUAAGUCAUUAGUUAAAAAGUAUUUUAAUACAUUAUUCAAAUUGUUUUCAGUUAUUGGUUUAAAAAAAAAAACAGUAUCUGUUACAAAUGUGAAAU